ACAAAUCGACGACCUCACAAUCGAACUUCAGACGAAUUUCAUGAAGAAAACAGAAACUGAAACUAUUCAAAUCUCAACUAAUUCCCAAACACUAUUGAAGAAACGAAGACUGGGCAGUGAAUAGGAUUUACGAACGAAUUUCGACAGACCGAAACUUCGACUUAAAGCUUUGCUUCUUUGGGGACCUUUUACGUGCUUGCAUGAGAGGAUCGAAGAGAUGUUUUGCUGUGAUUCAGCGCCUAUUUUUCAAGUGGCUUAAUGGCCGUUUCUACAACUCUUUUGAGGUGGUGUAAGUGAGGUUUCAGGUGAGUUUAAGGUCCUUUCAUGGCUGCCGUGGAGUUGUUUUCCGA
Molecule: long non-coding RNA, 350 nt
Filed under: Nicotiana benthamiana
Lineage: Eukaryota; Viridiplantae; Streptophyta; Magnoliopsida; Solanales; Solanaceae
Description: long non-coding RNA (NBEN_LNC038810)
Source: RNAcentral